GUCGAGCGAGCUUGCCUAGAUGAAUUUGGUGCUUGCACCAGAUGAAACUAGAUACAAGCGAGCGGCGGACGGGUGAGUAACACGUGGGUAACCUGCCCAAGAGACUGGGAUAACACCUGGAAACAGAUGCUAAUACCGGAUAACAACACUAGACGCAUGUCUAGAGUUUAAAAGAUGGUUCUGCUAUCACUCUUGGAUGGACCUGCGGUGCAUUAGCUAGUUGGUAAGGUAACGGCUUACCAAGGCAAUGAUGCAUAGCCGAGUUGAGAGACUGAUCGGCCACAUUGGGACUGAGACACGGCCCAAACUCCUACGGGAGGCAGCAGUAGGGAAUCUUCCACAAUGGACGCAAGUCUGAUGGAGCAACGCCGCGUGAGUGAAGAAGGGUUUCGGCUCGUAAAGCUCUGUUGGUAGUGAAGAAAGAUAGAGGUAGUAACUGGCCUUUAUUUGACGGUAAUUACUUAGAAAGUCACGGCUAACUACGUGCCAGCAGCCGCGGUAAUACGUAGGUGGCAAGCGUUGUCCGGAUUUAUUGGGCGUAAAGCGAGUGCAGGCGGUUCAAUAAGUCUGAUGUGAAAGCCUUCGGCUCAACCGGAGAAUUGCAUCAGAAACUGUUGAACUUGAGUGCAGAAGAGGAGAGUGGAACUCCAUGUGUAGCGGUGGAAUGCGUAGAUAUAUGGAAGAACACCAGUGGCGAAGGCGGCUCUCUGGUCUGCAACUGACGCUGAGGCUCGAAAGCAUGGGUAGCGAACAGGAUUAGAUACCCUGGUAGUCCAUGCCGUAAACGAUGAGUGCUAAGUGUUGGGAGGUUUCCGCCUCUCAGUGCUGCAGCUAACGCAUUAAGCACUCCGCCUGGGGAGUACGACCGCAAGGUUGAAACUCAAGG
This 886-nucleotide ribosomal RNA is filed under the name Lactobacillus gasseri. RNAcentral's name for it is "bacterial SSU rRNA". It matches the Rfam family "Bacterial small subunit ribosomal RNA", at positions 61 to 906 of the family's 1533-position model. The record is from RNAcentral. Lineage: Bacteria; Bacillati; Bacillota; Bacilli; Lactobacillales; Lactobacillaceae.